Molecule: long non-coding RNA, 238 nt
Filed under: Anser brachyrhynchus (Pink-footed goose)
Lineage: Eukaryota; Metazoa; Chordata; Aves; Anseriformes; Anatidae
Description: lncRNA (ENSABRG00000005226.1)
Source: RNAcentral
CGAACGGCUGAGUGGUGUUUAGCUGCCAGCCGGGUUAAACCACAACAGUAAGGACCCACCCACCACUGGGACACCAAGUGCAACUAUGAGGCUUCUGCAGACCUUACAGGGUCACUUCGAAAUAGGAGAAAAUCGGCUGUCGCAGUCGGCUGCUCCUCAGCCUCCAAGCACCGGUGCUGGAGAUAAUGUGGAUGCCUUAAGACUGAUUAAAAAUACAAGCGAACAAAAGAAACUUUAA